GACCUCGAAUCAGGUA
Molecule: ribosomal RNA, 16 nt
Filed under: Neotyphodium sp. 197
Lineage: Eukaryota; Fungi; Ascomycota; Sordariomycetes; Hypocreales; Clavicipitaceae
Also listed under: 1 other name
Description: partial 28S ribosomal RNA
Source: RNAcentral